RNAcentral lists this unclassified non-coding RNA (167 nucleotides) under plant metagenome. RNAcentral describes it as "partial contains small subunit ribosomal RNA and internal transcribed spacer 1". The stretch from base 1 to 46 matches the Rfam family "Eukaryotic small subunit ribosomal RNA", at positions 1786 to 1831 of the family's 1831-position model. The record is from RNAcentral.
AAGUCGUAACAAGGUUUCCGUAGGUGAACCUGCGGAAGGAUCAUUAGCGAAUUAGGAAGGGCGCCGCUUUCGAGCGUGUUUUCGCCCUUCACUCUUCGUCACCCUGUGCACCGAGCCCUUUUUUAAACGCAGUCUCGUCGAGGAUGUUUAAAAGUGAAAAACCUAUA